This 2921-nucleotide ribosomal RNA is filed under the name Staphylococcus aureus DAR1503. Its description in RNAcentral is "bacterial LSU rRNA". It matches the Rfam family "Bacterial large subunit ribosomal RNA". The record is from RNAcentral. Lineage: Bacteria; Bacillati; Bacillota; Bacilli; Caryophanales; Staphylococcaceae.
UUAAGUUAUUAAGGGCGCACGGUGGAUGCCUUGGCACUAGAAGCCGAUGAAGGACGUUACUAACGACGAUAUGCUUUGGGGAGCUGUAAGUAAGCUUUGAUCCAGAGAUUUCCGAAUGGGGAAACCCAGCAUGAGUUAUGUCAUGUUAUCGAUAUGUGAAUACAUAGCAUAUCAGAAGGCACACCCGGAGAACUGAAACAUCUUAGUACCCGGAGGAAGAGAAAGAAAAUUCGAUUCCCUUAGUAGCGGCGAGCGAAACGGGAAGAGCCCAAACCAACAAGCUUGCUUGUUGGGGUUGUAGGACACUCUAUACGGAGUUACAAAGGACGACAUUAGACGAAUCAUCUGGAAAGAUGAAUCAAAGAAGGUAAUAAUCCUGUAGUCGAAAAUGUUGUCUCUCUUGAGUGGAUCCUGAGUACGACGGAGCACGUGAAAUUCCGUCGGAAUCUGGGAGGACCAUCUCCUAAGGCUAAAUACUCUCUAGUGACCGAUAGUGAACCAGUACCGUGAGGGAAAGGUGAAAAGCACCCCGGAAGGGGAGUGAAAUAGAACCUGAAACCGUGUGCUUACAAGUAGUCAGAGCCCGUUAAUGGGUGAUGGCGUGCCUUUUGUAGAAUGAACCGGCGAGUUACGAUUUGAUGCAAGGUUAAGCAGUAAAUGUGGAGCCGUAGCGAAAGCGAGUCUGAAUAGGGCGUUUAGUAUUUGGUCGUAGACCCGAAACCAGGUGAUCUACCCUUGGUCAGGUUGAAGUUCAGGUAACACUGAAUGGAGGACCGAACCGACUUACGUUGAAAAGUGAGCGGAUGAACUGAGGGUAGCGGAGAAAUUCCAAUCGAACCUGGAGAUAGCUGGUUCUCUCCGAAAUAGCUUUAGGGCUAGCCUCAAGUGAUGAUUAUUGGAGGUAGAGCACUGUUUGGACGAGGGGCCCCUCUCGGGUUACCGAAUUCAGACAAACUCCGAAUGCCAAUUAAUUUAACUUGGGAGUCAGAACAUGGGUGAUAAGGUCCGUGUUCGAAAGGGAAACAGCCCAGACCACCAGCUAAGGUCCCAAAAUAUAUGUUAAGUGGAAAAGGAUGUGGCGUUGCCCAGACAACUAGGAUGUUGGCUUAGAAGCAGCCAUCAUUUAAAGAGUGCGUAAUAGCUCACUAGUCGAGUGACACUGCGCCGAAAAUGUACCGGGGCUAAACAUAUUACCGAAGAUGUGGAUUGUCCUUUGGACAAUGGUAGGAGAGCGUUCUAAGGGCGUUGAAGCAUGAUCGUAAGGACAUGUGGAGCGCUUAGAAGUGAGAAUGCCGGUGUGAGUAGCGAAAGACGGGUGAGAAUCCCGUCCACCGAUUGACUAAGGUUUCCAGAGGAAGGCUCGUCCGCUCUGGGUUAGUCGGGUCCUAAGCUGAGGCCGACAGGCGUAGGCGAUGGAUAACAGGUUGAUAUUCCUGUACCACCUAUAAUCGUUUUAAUCGAUGGGGGGACGCAGUAGGAUAGGCGAAGCGUGCGAUUGGAUUGCACGUCUAAGCAGUAAGGCUGAGUAUUAGGCAAAUCCGGUACUCGUUAAGGCUGAGCUGUGAUGGGGAGAAGACAUUGUGUCUUCGAGUCGUUGAUUUCACACUGCCGAGAAAAGCCUCUAGAUAGAAAAUAGGUGCCCGUACCGCAAACCGACACAGGUAGUCAAGAUGAGAAUUCUAAGGUGAGCGAGCGAACUCUCGUUAAGGAACUCGGCAAAAUGACCCCGUAACUUCGGGAGAAGGGGUGCUCUUUAGGGUUAACGCCCAGAAGAGCCGCAGUGAAUAGGCCCAAGCGACUGUUUAUCAAAAACACAGGUCUCUGCUAAACCGUAAGGUGAUGUAUAGGGGCUGACGCCUGCCCGGUGCUGGAAGGUUAAGAGGAGUGGUUAGCUUCUGCGAAGCUACGAAUCGAAGCCCCAGUAAACGGCGGCCGUAACUAUAACGGUCCUAAGGUAGCGAAAUUCCUUGUCGGGUAAGUUCCGACCCGCACGAAAGGCGUAACGAUUUGGGCACUGUCUCAACGAGAGACUCGGUGAAAUCAUAGUACCUGUGAAGAUGCAGGUUACCCGCGACAGGACGGAAAGACCCCGUGGAGCUUUACUGUAGCCUGAUAUUGAAAUUCGGCACAGCUUGUACAGGAUAGGUAGGAGCCUUUGAAACGUGAGCGCUAGCUUACGUGGAGGCGCUGGUGGGAUACUACCCUAGCUGUGUUGGCUUUCUAACCCGCACCACUUAUCGUGGUGGGAGACAGUGUCAGGCGGGCAGUUUGACUGGGGCGGUCGCCUCCUAAAAGGUAACGGAGGCGCUCAAAGGUUCCCUCAGAAUGGUUGGAAAUCAUUCAUAGAGUGUAAAGGCAUAAGGGAGCUUGACUGCGAGACCUACAAGUCGAGCAGGGUCGAAAGACGGACUUAGUGAUCCGGUGGUUCCGCAUGGAAGGGCCAUCGCUCAACGGAUAAAAGCUACCCCGGGGAUAACAGGCUUAUCUCCCCCAAGAGUUCACAUCGACGGGGAGGUUUGGCACCUCGAUGUCGGCUCAUCGCAUCCUGGGGCUGUAGUCGGUCCCAAGGGUUGGGCUGUUCGCCCAUUAAAGCGGUACGCGAGCUGGGUUCAGAACGUCGUGAGACAGUUCGGUCCCUAUCCGUCGUGGGCGUAGGAAAUUUGAGAGGAGCUGUCCUUAGUACGAGAGGACCGGGAUGGACAUACCUCUGGUGUACCAGUUGUCGUGCCAACGGCAUAGCUGGGUAGCUAUGUGUGGACGGGAUAAGUGCUGAAAGCAUCUAAGCAUGAAGCCCCCCUCAAGAUGAGAUUUCCCAACUUCGGUUAUAAGAUCCCUCAAAGAUGAUGAGGUUAAUAGGUUCGAGGUGGAAGCAUGGUGACAUGUGGAGCUGACGAAUACUAAUCGAUCGAAGACUUAAUCAA